GUGGUGCUGCGGCAUUACGUCAGGGUGAUUUUCCCUGGGGCCGAUACUCAUCCUUAAGGGAGCUGUCCCUGCCAUGACUUGCGGGUUUUGGCAUAUGGCGCCCACCUGCAUUUGCGGGCCACGUGAGGAUAUAGUCAUCCAACGAUUGUUGCGGCCCACUU
RNAcentral lists this non-coding RNA (161 nucleotides) under Alphaproteobacteria bacterium. RNAcentral's name for it is "6S RNA". It matches the Rfam family "6S / SsrS RNA". From Rfam's summary of the family: E. coli 6S RNA was the first non coding RNA to be sequenced, but its function was unknown until recently. It consists of 184 nucleotides that fold into an extended hairpin structure with a large single-stranded internal bulge. Lineage: Bacteria; Pseudomonadati; Pseudomonadota; Alphaproteobacteria. The record is from RNAcentral.